This 440-nucleotide ribosomal RNA is filed under the name uncultured bacterium. RNAcentral describes it as "bacterial SSU rRNA". It matches the Rfam family "Bacterial small subunit ribosomal RNA", at positions 338 to 769 of the family's 1533-position model. The record is from RNAcentral.
CCUACGGGGGGCAGCAGUAGGGAAUAUUGCACAAUGGGCGAAAGCCUGAUGCAGCAACGCCGCGUGAGUGAAGAAGGCCCUUGGGUCGUAAAGCUCUUUAGCCUGGAAAGAAGUGCCCUUAAGUGAAUAAUUUGAGGGUGUGACGGUACCAGGAGAAUAAGGUCCGGCUAAUUUCGUGCCAGCAGCCGCGGUAAUACGAAAGGACCAAGCGUUACUCGGAAUCACUGGGCGUAAAGCGCGCGUAGGCGGUCUUGUAUGUCGAUUGUGAAAUCCCCGGGCUCAACCUGGGAACUGCAGUCGAAACUGCAAGACUUGAAUGUUGGAGAGGUUGGGGGAAUACCUAGUGGAGAAGUGAAAUUCGUAGAGAUUAGGUGGAACACCAGAGGCGAAGGCGCCUGACUGGCCAAACAUUGACGCUGAGGCGCGAAAGCGUGGGUAGC